This 292-nucleotide ribosomal RNA is filed under the name uncultured bacterium. RNAcentral describes it as "partial 16S ribosomal RNA". It matches the Rfam family "Bacterial small subunit ribosomal RNA", at positions 505 to 796 of the family's 1533-position model. The record is from RNAcentral.
GUGCCAGCAGCCGCGGUAAUACGUAGGGUGCGAGCGUUAAUCGGAAUUACUGGGCGUAAAGCGUGCGUAGGCGGUUUUUCAAGCUCGAUGUGAAAGCCCCGGGCUUAACCUGGGAAUGGCAUUGAGGACUGGAAGGCUUGAGUGCGGCAGAGGGAGGUGGAAUUCCACGUGUAGCAGUGAAAUGCGUAGAGAUGUGGAGGAACACCGAUGGCGAAGGCAGCCUCCUGGGCCGACACUGACGCUGAUGCACGAAAGCGUGGGGAGCAAACAGGAUUAGAUACCCCAGUAGUCC